UGAGAGUCUAGCACUUCUUUGUGCUAACAUAGCCCCUAUAGCUUCGUCAGUGAUUGAUAAAUAGAGGAGAAGUGGCUUUCCGGGUCUUGAAGGCUGAAAUACUAGAGGGUUGAUUAAAAUAAGCUUUGAUUUGUUCAAAGGCUUUCUGACAUUGGUCAUCCCAAGUCUUUAGGGCAUCUUUCCUCAACUUCUUGAAGAUCGGUCCACAAGUAUCUG
Molecule: long non-coding RNA, 216 nt
Filed under: Jatropha curcas
Lineage: Eukaryota; Viridiplantae; Streptophyta; Magnoliopsida; Malpighiales; Euphorbiaceae
Description: long non-coding RNA (JCUR_LNC003146)
Source: RNAcentral